CCUCACAUGUGCUAGGCAAGCACUCUACUACUGAGCUACAACCACAUCCUCACCUUUUGAGAGAGCGACUCAUUUGCUGUGGGACUUGGUAAGUUGCUGAGGCUGCCUUUGAACUUUUGAUCAUCCUGCCUCAGCCUCCCAUGUUGCUACGAUUAUAGGUAUGUGUCACCUUGUCCAAUUUCCAGAAGAGGAAAAUUUAUAUAGACAGAAAUUAGAUUGGUUAUUCUCUACAGAUGGGGAUUGGGGAAAAAAGGAGGAAAUAAGAAAGGACUGCUAAUUUGUUUGGGAUUUUUCUGGGGAUGAUUAGAGUGUUCUUCAGUUGUGGUGUUGGUUUUACAAUUUUGUGAAUACACUAAAUAUCAUUGAAUUGUUAAUGUUAAAUGGUCAGUUGUAGGUUGUGUGAAUUGUAUUCCAAUAAAGCUGUUACAAAAAGUGAUGUAAGUGAAUGAUUCUUAUGAUUAUCUGUAAAUGACUGAGUUGUGAAAAUGCUGUCAUGUCAUGCUGUCAUGUCAUGCUGUUAGAUAAUAAAGGAAAUUGAGCCAAAGUUCUAUCCCUGCAGUGAUUCAUGGCUCAGAACCAAUUUGUCUAAUACUUGGUACAUAUAUGUCACAUAUUCACUGCCUUCAUAGAUAUCUUCUCAGUACUUUCCUAAGAAUUGAGAAAAUGUUUUCCAAUUGGGGUCAUUACAAAAAAGUAAUUAACUCAAUACAUAUUUAAUGAGAUUCAUUAUAUUUGAUAUAUUAUCUUCAAACAGCAUUGCACCCUCUGUAUUCCAAUCAAUCUGAGCCUCUUUCUGUUUAUUACAUGUCCCACACUCUGAUUUACACACCCUUACAUGUACUUCUGGGAUGCUUUUCCUACCAUUUUUUCUGCUGAGUUGAGAUUUACCUUCAGCUCUUGGGUUACACUUAUCUUCCCCUAGGAUAUUUGCCUGAAAUCAGGUUAUUUUCCUGUUCUGUACAGAAAGAGUCCAUUCAUUGACCUCCUUUAAUAGAAAGCACUUAUCACAAUCUUUGCUCAGAGACUAGGAGCUCCUUGUGGGAAGGGAUCAUGUCUAUCUUUUCCUUCUCUGAGCCCGUGGACUGAACAUAAUGUAGGUUUUUUUUUUAAAUAUUUCUAGUCAUAAUUAAAUAUAAAACAUUAGUGAUGGGCAAUAAUCAAAUAUGAAACCAUAAAUGGAAUUUCUGCUUAUUCAACAAGGGUUAAAUCUGGAUGGAAGAAAAUAGUUUAUAAACUAUUUUUACUGAGUGGAACAUGAUGGAGAUUUAUUAAAAAUUCCACGAACAUCAAUAUUUUCAGAUUCAAAUGAGCUAUGGGAAAGCUGCAAUCUAAAAGCUAUGUGUUAAGGAAAAGUUUCCUUGCUCACAAUAGGACCCACACAGGAAGGGUCAGGCCUUUAUUUUCUAUUGAAUGUUAUGUCCAGAUGGUACCCAGGCCUAUGGCUAAAAUUUUGGUAAAACAAGAUCAAGAACAAAAGCCUAUUCAGUAAGGUUAGAAGCCAGAAUGUGGAGUUUGUUUAUGAGUUAUUAAAUUUGUCAUACCUUGAACCAUUAUACCAGUGGAUUUUUUGAUGCAUAAUUUUUCUUUAUAGGUUUUUAUCCUAGCUAGGAUAGGAUAACUGAGUUAUCCUAGCUCUGUCAAGGGUAUUAUUUCUGGUCCCACAUCAUUACCGGAGAGACAAGGAUCAGUUUAUUACUGACUUGGGAACCUCCCAGGGACUUUGACAAGCCUACCUACUUUGGUUCUUGAGAUGGGUUAAACUCACUCAAGGCUGUAUCAUUUCCUAUAAUAUCCACUUAAAGGAUGGAGACUCUAAUUUUGGGAGUGGGCUACUGCAUGAACUAUGAGAGCUAAUUCAUAUUUGCAAUGUAUUGUUUUACCUACUCUUAGCCCAACUCACUUAGGGAUGAAGUGAAGCGUGUGCCUCGAAUGUGUAAACCAAAAGAAUUGGACUGGAGUAACCUCAUUCCAUCCUAGUACACUGGUGGUCUCAUUGAUAUGUUGGCUCUGGUAAGCGUGGGAGGAUGACUCCUGUGUGUGGCAUUGUCAACUCAUUUUUGGUAUAAAUACCUCUGCUGUUGCUGAAUUAAAGCUGCUAACAAUUUCAUAAAUGUUUUACAAGAUUCUUGCAUAUUUAUGGGUCAGCUUGUGUGAUGUGAUCUGGCUACAGCAUUCCACUGAGUGUUGCCAAACUAAGGGAGAUUUGGGGGGUUCCUGGUGCCUUUGUUCUCACAGAUAUGCUCCUUAUAUAGGCCCAUGGUUAAUGGCAAGGUUAUGAUAGGCUGUGGCCCUGAACUCAUGUUGUCUAUACUAUGGAGAGAAGGGAGCCGUGGCAGGUUUCACAGCCCAAUUCCAACAGAGGAGAUGGAAUUAUAGGAACUAUGUUCCAGUCUUUGUCCAGGGUUCAAAACUUAUCUAUGCCUCUCACACUCCUACCCCUCAGAUAUAUACCACAAAACUGAGGCAGGCAGAGAUACAGUAACUUUGCUAAACCCACAGACAAGUGUUGGAGCUUGGAUUCUUCCUCAGACUUUACUUUCCCCCAAACCAGACUUCUUAGCAUCUCUGUUAUGAGGCCUUUCCUAGGAAAUUGGUACAAUAAAUCAGAAUAUUGUACUGAUGAGUUCUGGGAACAGGACAAAGGCAUGUUUAUUUGAAUGAUAUCUCACAAUCACUAGUCUAAAGAGAAACUUGUUACAGUGACUUGCUUUAACAAGGGAAAAUUAUUAUCCACAGAACCAGAUUGUUGUACCAAGGUUGAAACCCUUUGAAUCCUAUUCUCUGGAAAAGAUACUAAAAUAUGUAAGCAAAUAAAGUUGGAGAGCAUGAGGCAUAACAGUUAACUUCAUACACCCCUGGUGAGACUGGAAUGUAGGCUUGCUAUGUGCAUCAUGAUUUAAAUGUAAAAUCAGUUUGAUUUAGACACAUUACUUCCAAAAGACUUAAGGAAAUGAUUGGACAGAUAAAAAUUUCUAAGCAAUGGUAUUUAACCUACAUACAUUUGAAAAUUUGAACAAGUGGAAUGGACGUUAAUACACACCUGUAAAGUUUUGAUUUUGAGAAAUAUACUACUUCCAUGCAUGGGGUGAUAUGCAUUUAAACUUCUAGGUGUCUUUUUUUGGCAUGAGAAUGCCGUUUUUUGGACACAUAAACACGAAACAUCCCUGAAAGCCACAAUAUUGCAUUAUCUUUUCUCACAUGGGGAUUCUACUCCAUCUUGGACUUCAACAAGUCCUCCUGCUCCUAAUACACUCCAUUUCCCCCUCCUUUGGGUCUAAAAGCAUGCUGAAGAAUGUUUUGUGUGCUCCUUCUGAACUACUGUGAAUAAAAGCAACAACAGCCUUUCACCAACAUGUCCUGAUUUGUAUUAUCCAAGUAAGGAAAAUCUUUAAAAAUUACAUCUGUGGGGCUGGGGCGGUAGCUCAGUGGUAGAGUGUUUACCUAGCACAAGUGAGGCCCUGGGUUCGAUCCUCAGCACCACAUAUAAAUGAAUAAAUAGAAUAAAGGUAUUAAAAAAUUCCUACCUUUUAAAAAAUUACAUCUGUUAUCUCUUCACUCCUGUCUAUUGUGUGCUUCAGUCACAGAACUUCUUUUCUUCCCACUAAUUACAGAGAUUAAGGAUGUUUGCACUUAGUGUAAUGAGGUAUAGGGCUUGGUAGACAUUGUAAAACUUUCAGAGACCAGUCUUAACAAACACUGGUGGCACCACUGAGCAACAGCACAUGGAGAUGUAAACUUCAAUAUGUAUACAAACUUGUUUAAAAACUGAAUAAAAACAGUGUUUUAUGCUGAGAUUUUUUUUGAGUACUGAGGAUUGAACUCAGGGGAACUUGACCACUGAUCCACAUUCCCAGCCCUAUUUUGUAUUUUAUUUAGAGACAGGGUCUCACUGAGUUGCUUAGCGCCUCACUUUUGCUGAUUUUGGCUUUGAACUUGCAAUUCUUCUGCCUCAGCCUCCCAAGCUGCUGGGAUUAUAGGUGUGUGCCACUGUGCCCAGUUUAUUGCUGGGAUUUUGAGAAGGCUAGUUUAAGAGAUUCAGACAAACUAGUGAGUUCAAACAUCCUUCACCAUCUGAUCCUGUGUUACCACCAGCAGGUUCCAGAUGGGUGGCAAAUUGAUUUUACUGCAUCAUGUCUCUUACCCCAGUACCUUCCUUAGCCAUAUGAAGUGUGGCUCUGGGCCCUUUCUCUCUCAUUCCUGUGGUUCCAGGAUAGAGAAUAACAAGUCAGUAAAAUGUGGACUGGGAAACACUGGCUGGAACUAACAAGACUAUGUAACUGUUUUCUUUAUAAUGUUUUAUCUACACUAAAUACAAAAUACAUUUUCCCUUCCAUUUAACUGAUUGUUAUUUUGGAUAACCCCCCCUUUGUUUGGGCAAGAAAGGAAUACUGUCUCUCUCUGAGUGGAAUCCAAAAUAUAUUAAGAAAAAUCAACCUUUUCUACACAGUUUUAUUUUAAUGGAAGGAAAACCUACCACAUACAUUUCAGAUGGAAAGAGAAGCAAAACAAAACAAAACACUGCAAGUAAUUGACCUUGGUUCCAAAGACAAAGAUUUUUAAAAGUUGGGACUUUUCUUUGCAAGGGCAGCAACAAUGUGCCUUAUAGACUGGCAAAGCUUAUCCAAUAAGGAACUGUCCUGGUUCUACCUUAUUUUAAAACAAAGUGAAAGGACAGCAACUCUGAGUAUAAAAUAGUUAAAAAUAAUUCUUUAAAAAAGACAUGGAGACAUAUGUGUUUCCUAACUGGUUUUAGAAAUUGCCAGGUUAUGAUAUAAAAAGUAGCUGAUGAAAUAAUAUCAAAAUCUCAUCUAGAAAACUACAUCAUCAGGGGAGGAAAAAAGGGACUUGAAAAAAAUGCUUAUUGCCAAAGUUGACUUUCUGUAAGUUGAAAGAUCACUUAGAUUGAACAAACCACAGAGCAACAUAAAAUGGGCACUUUUGAAGAUUUUGAAAAAUUAUAAAAGCUGUUUUUUUUUUAAUAGGGACAAACUUGAAUACUAUGACACUAUUAUCUUUCAUCGUAACAUGGAUUACAUGUGUUUAUGUGACACAUUUACAAAAGUCAACCAAAUAAGGGAACUGCCUGUUUGAAUCUGCCACUGAACCCAGUGCAAUUGCUUGGCAGCCUGUACUUUCACCAGUGCUGCAGUCUGGCUGGGCACAAUUCACGAGCCACUUGUCAAGCAGGAACGAACUUUAUUUUUUGAACGCACGCUGCACCACGCGAGCUCUCCAGGAAUUCCCCGAGAGCCCAACUGCCACCACCAGCUCUUCCGGGGAGCACCUCAACCAGAACCCUUAGGUACCCCCUCUUGAGGCAGAUUGGCUGGGUUGCGUGGGCGGAGCCAAAAGAGUCCCCCCAAUGAGCAGCUCCGUGGUCUGAAAGGGCAGGGAAACAGCCCAAUGAGCAUCACCGCAGAGGAGCCAAUCAGCUGGAAGUUUGCUUGGGCUGUGGUGAGCCAAUCAGCUGGAACUUUGCUGGGGCCGUGGUGAGCCAAUCAGCUGGAAGUUUGCUGGGGCUGCUUUAGCUGCGGCUCUCAACAUCUCCCCCUCUCUGUUUAAUUAAACAACAAGCAUGUGGCUUAGGGACUGUGCCUGUCUUAGGUUGUCCAAUAGUACAUAUGGUCCUUACCUGUCAUCAGAUGAGCUGACCUCAAGGCGUCAGCCUCCUGUCUUAGGUUGGUACCAUUGCAAUUGGAUCUUACCCGUCAUUGACUACGGGUCCAGCAUACAGCCACACCUGUGGAUAGGCCUUUGUACCAGUGUGGGGGGGUGAGGUUCUUUGCCUCACCUCUGUUGGCCCCCAAAUUUUAGCUGAACGACCAUCACAAGCAGAAGGGAGGAGGAUACAAAAUGCCACGACACCAAGCCAAUUGACGGCUCCUUUUGGAAUAAUUGUACCACUGAUGACAUCAUCAGCAAAAAUACCCCAGCACUAUUACACAUCGCUGCACCAACAGAUAGUUCACAAUGCAUACAAGUGAGUUCACAAUGCAUACAAGUGAUACAUAGUCCAGGCAAGUUCUGCGAGCAGUUCAGUGAUAGCUAUUGCAGAAGCUGUCGUUUGGUUUUAUCUUUGUCUUCACCGGCACUGGGAUGGUGAUAGGAAUUCUGGCAAUGAUGGCUAAAGAAAAAAUUAUGUAACAUUCCAGCAGGCACUAAAAGAAAGCAAUUUUCUGAACAAUUACAUUAUCCUGAACAGAAUUAUUAAAUAUAAUGAAAAGGAAAGGUGAAAGUAAACAAAUGAAAAGGAAAGGUGAAAGUAAACAAAUGAAAAGGAAAGGUGAAAGUAAACAAACAGAUCUGUUAACCUCCUUUUUUGUUCACAUAUUAAAACAAUCCUCAACAGCUGUUUACCCAAUUUAAAUUAAACCAUUUAAAUCAUGUGAAUAAGAAAAAAAUAUUUGGAUCCAUUUUUUCAUGAGUGCUCGUCAUAUAUGAUAUACGGACAUUCGCACAUACAAACAUACAACACAAAACACAAGUGUGCACACAUAAUAUAAUACAUACAACACAUAACAUAAUAGUAAAGGCCUUGUACCUUUUUCAGGUGGAAUCUCCAUUGCAAUGUUUCCACAUCUCUCCCCACUGGAGCCAUACCAUCCAGUUCAUCAUCAAAUUCUGCAAACUGGGAAAACUCUCUCCGAUGGUGUUCUGGAAAUGCCCAAUGAGCAUCAUCACAGAGGAGCCAAUCAGCUGGAAGUUUUCUGGGGCCACUUUGGCUGCGGCUCUUAACACACCAGCAGCAGAAGUCUGCAGAGAUCACUAAGAUAAAAUAGUAAGACUAAUAAAACUCUAUACAACUUUGAAAGAUUAAUGCCAGUUAAGGGCAUUUACAGUGGCAGAGUCAGAAAUAUCCAUUACACAGUCUGUGGGCACCCCAGUGCACAUGUGUAGAAGCAGGGGCACACAGUGGCAACAGGAGAUACUCCCGUCCUGCUUGGAGACCCAAGGCUGUGCUCCACUUUCCUUGCCUCUGCCUCUGACAUCCUUUCAGCUUUCAUCCCUAGAUGAGGGGGCAGCUUGUGAGGUUGAGUGUUCCAGGCUGAGGGCACAGAGAGCUCAGCUCCAGGAGGCCAUGGUAAGCAUGGCUUUGGCAGGCAGGAGAUGUGAAAGGUAGCCAGAUGGAGCUGGGAGAUGCAAGACCACACAAUAUUAAACAAUUGAAGAGAUUGAACCAGGUCAUAUUUCUAGUAAGCUCUAAUGACAGGAUGUGCUAGAGCUUUACCAGCCAAUCAAAAUUGCCUAUUUCAAUGAUAUUGUUAUAGGUGCAGUGUGCUGCAGAGUGGAUCAUUCACAGGAUCAGAAGAGACGAGAUCAGAAGAGAAGAGAUGUCUUGCACAUUACCGAAAGCUAGGAAUAGGAACUAAAAUGUUAAAUAAUGCCUUAAAGAUCUGUGGAAAAGAUGGCACUUAUUUUGGCGGGGGGAGUACUGGGCAUUGAACUCAGGCACUGGACCACUGAGCCACAUCCCCAGCCCUAUUUCGUAUUUUAUAUAGAGACAGGGUCUCACUGAGUUGCUUACCUCCCUCCUUACUUUUGCUGAGGUUGAACUUGUGAUCCUCCUAUUCCAGCCUCCCAAGCCAUUGGGAUUACAGGCAUGCACCACUGCACCAGGCAUGAUGGCACUUUUGACAACAUCUGUUUACAUGUUUGGAUCAGCAAUGAGCCAGUAAUUGAUUUCUACAGGAAGUUUGGCUUUGAGACUAUUGAGAUGAAGAAGAACUACUGUAAGAGGAUAGAAACUGCAGAUCAUNUGUAAGUUCCU
RNAcentral lists this long non-coding RNA (7768 nucleotides) under Marmota monax (woodchuck). Lineage: Eukaryota; Metazoa; Chordata; Mammalia; Rodentia; Sciuridae. The record is from RNAcentral.